Sceloporus undulatus (fence lizard) is the source of this 6172-nucleotide RNA transcript. It is a transcript of the gene named zinc finger protein 420-like, with no coding region annotated. NCBI's taxonomy places the organism in Eukaryota, Metazoa, Chordata, Lepidosauria, Squamata, Phrynosomatidae. The transcript is spliced from 7 exons. The record is from RefSeq and is a predicted model, not a curated record.
UUCUGUCGGGGAUGGCGCCCCCAGCGGAAUCGCUAGGAAUUGCAAAAGGCGGAGGGAAGGACUCCAAUUCCCAGAAUCCUUGGCCUCUGGCUCUGACAGGCUGACAUAUGAAGGCUGCUAGGGACUGUAGGAAGAAGGGUCUGGAAGGGGGCCUGGCUGGACUCUCUGCACCCAGAGGGACCCGGCUUCUUGGGGACGACGGCUUAAAGGGCGGCGCUCGGGUGGACGCGCCAUUGUUUCCCUGCAGAGGAGGAAGGGGAAGGGAAUCGGAGGGGGUCCCUGAUCAUGGAAGGGAGCCGGGAGAGGGUCAGGGACUGCGUGGAGCUGGCCGAGGAGGAGGAGGAGGAGGAGGAUGCCCGAGGGGCCGGGAGUGGCGGCUACGAAGAGAGGGGGGCGGCCUCCUGGAGGAGGAGCGAGGGACGGAGGGGCGGCCCUGAGGAGGAGGAGGAGGAGGAGGAGGAGGAGGCAGCAGGCCCCGAGGCUAGCCAGGCCUCCGCCGCCCCUCGAGGGCGCCCCCUCAGGACACCGGAGGAGGAGGAGGAGGAGGGUGGGCUGGGUGCCCCUCAGACAGAGAACCUGGGCUCCCUGAGGGAGAAGGCGGGCGCCCUGAAGGAAGAGGGGCAUGGCCCUCAGGCGCCCCUCCCAGAGAACGUGGGCUCCAGGGCGUUGCAAAGGGGCUUGGCCCUGCCAGAGGGAGCAGGGGUCUUGUCAUCAGUUGCCUUGAGAAGGGGAAGGGACCCCUCGGGGGAGCAGGGGGGCUCUCUGCGGGGCACCCUCCCAGAGAAGGUGGCCUUCCUCAGCGAAAAGGGGGGCGCCCUGCAGGAAGGGAUGGAUGUUCCUCUGGUUGCCCUGCGAGGGAAGAGGGACUCCCAGAAGAAGAAGGGGAAGGGGAAGGCUCUCAGGGGUGCCCUGUUUGGUCUUGAGGUGGAGCAAAAGGGCGCCCAUUUGUACAAGGGUUGUGCCCUGUGGGAUGCCCCCUCGAAGGAGGAAGGGGCUACUACCUUCCUAGCUGCCUUGGACCACAACAUCCCUGUGGAGAAGAUGGGCACCUUGCAGGAGAUCUUGGGCGCCCAAGAGGAUGCCACCUGGGGCUUUCUGUGGGAUGACCCACUGCGGGAGAAGAUGGGGGGCUUGGGAAAGAUGGAAGGCCUCCAAGCAAAGAUGGAGGACCAGAGAUGGAUACUGAAUAGUCUGAGGGAUGCAUCUCAAAAGGAGCUGGAUGCCUCAGAUGAAAAGAGGAAUGCUCCGCAGAGCACUUUGCAGCAUCUCUUGAGAGACGUCCAGCUGCAGGAGAAGCCAGGCGCCUUCCCUGAGGAGAUGGAUGUCCUCCAGGAUGCCCCAGGGAAAGCAGUGGGGGUCCUACGGAAAGAGGUCCCUGUGUCCUUUGAGGAGGUGGCUAUCCAUUUCACAGAGGAGGAGUGGGCCUUGCUGGAUCCAGACCAAAGGGCUCUGUACAGAGAAGUCAUGCUGGAGAAUUAUGGGAAUGUGACCUCUCUAGGUAGUGGCAAAAUGUCAGUGAUGUGUUCCAGAUCUACUCCUGUUUGUGACAAAGUGGAAAGAGCUGUUCUGCACUCAGAUCAGACCCCAAUUUCCUUUGAGGAGGUGGAGCCAGGACAUUUUGCCAAGGAGGAAGUGGCCCUACUGGAUACAGAACAAAAAUCCCUGAAGAAGCCCAUGGAGGAGAAGCUAGAGAUCGAUGCCUCUCUGACUAAGGAUGUGCUUAAAUCAACAAUAGAUAAUCACUGGGAAGCCCACACAACAGAGAAGCCAUUUAAGCAUCUGGAGUGUGAAAAGAGCUUUAACUGUUUUCAGAGAGUGCAGACAGAUGUUAAACCAUUUCAGUGUCUUGAAACCAGAAAAUACUUCAGUCAGAGUAUAGCAGGCCUUGCUUACCACCAGCAAGAACUCAUAGUAGAAAAACCCUAUAAAUGUCUGGAAUGUGGAAAGAGCUUCAGUCAGAGUGGACGACUUAUUAUACAUCAGAGAAAUCACCCAAGGGAAAAAACAUACAAAUGCCUGGAGUGUGGGAAGGACUUCAAUUCAGGUCCAGGCCUCACCUACCAUCAAAGAAUACACACAGGGGAGAAACCAUAUAAAUGUCUGGAGUGUGGGAAGAGCUUCCGUGGUCAUAAUCAGCUUACAGAUCAUCAAAGAGUACACACAGGGGAGAAACCAUUUCAGUGUGUGGAGUGUGGAAAAUGUUUUAGUCAAAGUGGACAACUUACUAUACAUCAAAGAAUACACUCAGGCGUGACGCCAUACAAAUGUCUUGAGUGUGGAAAGAGCUUUAGUUCGAGCACAGGGCUCAGCUGCCAUCAGAGAACCCACACAGGGGAGAAACCAUUCAAAUGCCUGGAGUGUGGAAUGAGUUUCAGUCAGAACAUAAGCCUUACAUACCAUCAAGUAGUCCACACAGGGGAGAAACCAUAUAAAUGCCUGGAAUGUGGAAGGGGUUUCUCUAGACAUGAGCUGUUGACCAUCCAUCAAAGAGUUCAUACAGGGGAGAAACUGUAUACAUGCCAGGAAUGUGGAAAGAGCUUCAGUUGGAGCACAAGUCUUACCUACCAUCAAAGAAUGCACACAGGAGAGAAGCCAUAUACAUGUGCAGAAUGUGGAAUGCGCUUCCGUAGCCAUCACCACCUUACUGAUCAUCGAAGAGUGCACACAGGGGAGAAACCAUUUAAAUGUUUGGAAUGUGGGAAGUGCUUUGGUCAGAGCAAUGGACUUGCUCGCCACCAGAGAACCCACACAGGGGAGAAGCCAUUUACAUGUUUGGAGUGUGGAACAAGCUUCAGCCAAAGUGGACAACUUGUCAUACAUCAAAGAGUACACACAGGAGAGAAACCCUAUAAAUGUUUGGAGUGCACAAUGAGCUUCCGUCAGAACAGAAGCCUUAUCCGCCAUCAAAGAGUUCACACAGGGGAGAGGCCUUUUAAAUGCUUAGAGUGUGGCAAGAAUUUUAGUCAGGAUUCACAUCUUAUGUCACACAAAAGAAUUCACACAGGAGAGAAACCAUACAAAUGCCUGAUAUGUGGGAAAAGUUUUCUAAGGCAUGAAUACCUAACCAUCCAUCGAAGACAUCACACUGGGGAAAAGCCAUUUAAAUGCCUAGAGUGUGGCAAGGCCUUCAUGAAGAGAGACUCUCUUCUUUGCCAUGAAAGAAUUCACACAGGAGAGAAACCAUUUAAAUGCCUAGAAUGUGGGAAAGGCUUCAGACAGAACAGAAGCCUUAGUUUCCAUCAAAGAGUCCAUACAGGGGAGAAACCAUUCAAAUGCCUGGAGUGUGGAAAGCUCUUUAGACUUAGUGCAAACCUUACUGUACAUAAAAGAAUUCACACAGGGGAAAAACCAUAUAAAUGUCUGGAAUGUGGAAAGAGCUUCAGUCAGAACAGAAGUCUUAUCUAUCAUCAAAGACUUCACACAGGGGAGAAACCAUUUAAAUCUCUGGAAUAUGACAAUUGCUUUGGCAACAGCACAGGACUUGCCUGCCAGCAAAAUGAAACAAUAAAUAAACCAUGGAGUGCAGUUCCGUGGCUUGUUUAGGUGAACCAACUACAAGUGGUAGUUAUUGCAUAGUGUGUCCUGUCGUGCUCUCCAUAUACCAUAAACCAACCCUGGCUUUACAUGUUGUGUGAUAAUGACCAUUGAGUUGAGAUCUUUCUUCGCAUCAAGUAAUCUGCAUAGAAGAGAGAACCUUUAAAUGUUAAAUGCAGGGUUGGCUGGUUGAAACUAAGUUGGUUUAAACCAAAUAACUUUAAAAUAAAGCACUCCAAUUUUUAAAAAUGGAUUAAUCAUUUUUUAAAAGUCUGGCUAUUAUUACUAUUUUCCAGCCUUUUUACUGGAACAACCAUGACUGUUUUAAUUUAAACAUUUUAACUUUUAAAAGGUUAUUGGCAGUUGUUGUUAGACCAGUAUCUAGUGUCAGUUGUUUCUUUUUAAUCACUUUAUUUUAUAGUGCAAGAAACGACGUUAAAAAACCAGUCCUUUAAAUUAACGCAGGUUCAACCAAAAUAUUUUGCUUUAAAAGAGCACUUUAUUAUUUAAGCUACUUACCAUAACAUCCAAACUGCAUUUUUCUAUUUAACUUUCUGAUUUAGCCCUUUAUUGGUGUAGUCUUACACAUUAAUGGGGGGGGAUUGUUUUUCCCCCCCCCCCCAAAAAAAAACAACAACCAGCGUUUUGUUUUGUUUUUAAACCUGUUUCUUCCCCAACCCUUGUGAAAUGUGCUUUGAUAAAUAAAUGUACAUUGGUGAAUGCCUAGCAUACAAAAAGAACUUGGAAAAGAAACUCUCAUUGUGCCUAUGGUAAAACUAAUGGCUGGAAUACAGUACUGUCUGUUACAUAUACUGUAUAGGCAACAUUGCAAGUUAUUAUUUGUUCACUGAGACCAAAAGCAUCCAGCAUUCCUCUGCAACACACACAAUUGGCCUCCUUGUUUGCUGGGUGCCAUUCCCCAGACAUUUAGAGGCAAGGUUGUGACCAGGCAGCAUCCGGCUGUGUUGGUGCAUCCAGAUACAGCAAGACGCAGGCCUCCUCCUGGAUUUCCAGGGUGUUCUUGAAGGACUCCUCAGAGGCCCAGGAGAAUGACAUAACCUUUCUAUGUCUCUCUGCUAAAACACAGCUGGACAUUGCCUUGGUAUAGCUUGUCCUUCCCAAUUCACUAAAUGACUAUAGUGGGGAGUGCUCAGCCAGUGAGGAAGGAGGUGGCAUGCCCAGGGAGAGGAGUAGGAAGCACAACUACACCUGGCAGAGCUUUAUCUUCCUUGAAGUCCUUGCAGGGUCUUGAGCAAUUAGAAAUGAUACGCUGUUGGCAGAUGUUCAACCUAAUUCCUGGUUUAAGGGAAGAAUCCCUCUGGUGAGAGUUUUUAUAACUCUUUGGGGAAAAUAUUAGGAUCUUAUAUUUAUUAAAACUUAUUAAGAAGCCAAAGGAAGUGGUUGUAGAAUGGAUUAAAAAAACCAGCACUUUUGAUUACCCUCCCCUCCUACAAUAGGUACACACACACACACUCUUAUGGAUCAUUUGUAUUUAGGGUUUUUUAAAAGGGGGGUUUAUAAUCAUGCCUGAUUUCACUUCAAACAUCCAUUAAAGGUCUAUCAGUAUCUGUCCCCAAUAUAAAACAUAUAUUUACAUUGCUGAUAUUCUGAGAUGCUGAUUGUAAUUUUACAAAUGGUUUGAAAACUGUAUUUUUGCCUGAUUAACAAACCGCUAUGAAACCCUAGGCACCUCUGGCUCUAGAAAGCAAGAUGUUUUGACACAAUACUGAGGUGCAAACUUUGUACUUAAUGCAAGGUUUUGGAGUAAAGUGAAAGGGGUGAUGUGAGAAAAUUGUUUGUUUCUUUAUUGUGGUAUACCUCUUCAGUUUUUUCUGAGUUGUUUUUCUUUGAGACAACUACAUUUUCAAGCACUUGAUACCGAACUUGUUCAGUUUUAAUCCUCCUUUAGGCAAAUUUGCAUUGAUUGACUUCUCAGUUAUUUUUUGACCCUGUGGAAAUUUCAGUUGUAUGUCAGAGAAUAAAAAGUACCUCAUGUCUGGGAGGAUGUUUGUAGGUGCAGAAUCAAAGGUAUUUCUGCAUCUAAUUUGAUGCAAAAUACAUCUGCACGAGAUGAAGGAUUUUUUUUUAGUAGCAGCCAGUUUUCCUUUAUGGCAAAGAAUGUAACCAGGUUUCUGUGUCUGUAAAAUACUACUACUAUUAUUUCCAAUCUUCUUGUUUUGUUCUAAAAAAAAAAUUGGCAAACCAAUGCAAACCUUUGAAGGAUAAAAAUAAAUAGGGACAAAUAAUACACAAUGAUCUAUCUAGCCCAGUAACAAAAUAUUCUCUAUUAAGGGAAAUGUCCCCCAGUCUUCCUGCAAUGAAAGGCCAUUCUUAUGGUGUUCUUAUUUAUGUGUGAUAAAAUUAAACCAAAUACUUUGCAUUCUUGUUCCAUCAGACUCCCAUGUUGCUGGCUACUGGUUUGACCAGGAUUAGGGAUCCUGCUGCAAGCAGAGGCCAUUCCCCUUCUUAGCCAUAUGGGGACAAGGGGCAAUAAAAUACAGAGAAUGGCUUUCUUACCCAGAGAGGACACAUGACUAUAGUUCUCAACCAUAACUUCCUUGUACAAGGCCCUUUGGUCUGGAUCCAGGAGAGCCCACUCUGCCUUGGUAAAAUGGACGGCCACCUCCUCAAAGGAAAC